CGGCGCCGCCACCGACGUCGGACAAGCAAGAGAGAUACGAACGGAUAAGCACUCUCUCGCUCCCUCGACACCGGACUCAAGGAUCACCUCUUCGCUCCGCCUACGAAGGGCAAAAGAUUACCCCUGGUAUCAGUAGGAUAAAAUACUUGAGCACCGCAACGGAUUAUCAAAGAUCAAAGGAAGAAGAAGGAAGAAAAUAGCAAAGCAAA
RNAcentral lists this long non-coding RNA (209 nucleotides) under Phoenix dactylifera (date palm). Its description in RNAcentral is "long non-coding RNA (PDAC_LNC010223)". The record is from RNAcentral. Lineage: Eukaryota; Viridiplantae; Streptophyta; Magnoliopsida; Arecales; Arecaceae.